Molecule: long non-coding RNA, 954 nt
Filed under: Homo sapiens (human)
Lineage: Eukaryota; Metazoa; Chordata; Mammalia; Primates; Hominidae
Description: small nucleolar RNA host gene 17
Rfam family: Small nucleolar RNA SNORA71 (bases 3-136)
Source: RNAcentral
GCUCCUGCAUCCGAAAGUGAUCAUAGGCUGCCUGUGCCUAGGUCAUUGAUAGUGCAGGGAGAGGAACGCUGAAAGAGGUUGUCCCCGUGUUUGGAGGGUCCACCCUAUCCCAUCCGAACCCUGAAGCUUUCACACAACUCCUGUUGCUCUCCUGCCAGCCCUUGAGGAGUCCGGCGCUUGCUUGGCUGCCACAUGAAAGAUUGUCAGCUGACCUCUGUCCUGUGUGCCCAGUGGCCCCAGGUGACGUGUCUUCAAGAAGAGGCUGAGCUGCGGUGCUUGUAAGGGUCUCAUUCUGUCACCCAGGCUGGAGUGCAGUGGUGCAAUGAUGGCUCACUGCAGCCUCGACCUGGGCUCAAGUGAUCCUCCACCUCAGCUUCCUGAGUAGCUGGGACCACAGAGUCAUGUGCUGUUCCUGGGGCUUGGAUGAUGUAGGGGAAGCAAGGUGAAAGUGGUAUCCCGUGGUUCCACGUUCUGUCCUGCUGUGGGGCUGUCCCUCACAUGCUUUCAGUGGCUGUUGCAGAGGAAGAGCCUCCGGAAAUCUGCGUGGGUCUCAGCCUUAGAUCCAAGGACAGUCCAAGGAAGUCCUAAGACCAUGGAGUUGGUGAUCUGGGAUCUGGGUUUGCUGAUAUUUCUCACCGUGAAUCUCUUGGUGGUGUUUGUGGGCACGAGAGGGGCAGAGAAUGGAGAGUGAGGCUACCACAUGAAGCGUCACCAGAGCUGCUCCCUGCUGCCUGCUCAGAGCACCCCGGAUCCACUGUUCAAUCUGCACAAGAUUCGGGGUCCAGACAUGGGAGACUUCAGCUGCCUCAGAGGACCGUGGACAGGGAAGGCCAGCCUCGCAUCCCUCUGUCCAUGCCUGGAAUGACUUUAAUAACCAAGAGUUUUAUUUUUGAAUUUGUAGCUGUCGUUCACUUUUUACCCACCCAUUCAAUAAACCUUACAGAAUUGCUCCAU